Long non-coding RNA from Lonchura striata (white-rumped munia), 1977 nucleotides. RefSeq lists it as uncharacterized. Lineage: Eukaryota; Metazoa; Chordata; Aves; Passeriformes; Estrildidae. The record is from RefSeq and is a predicted model, not a curated record.
UCGGCCCGGCUCGGCUCGGCUCGGCCCGGCCCGGCUCGGACCCCGCCGCCCCGAGGUCUCGGUGGUGCCUUGUCAGUCGCCAGUCACUGAUUUAAAAGUGUUGACUGUGCAUCCCCCAAAUUCAGUACCGCCUUCCUCGGAGGGGAAGAGACAGCCACCUGUAGUGACAGGCUUUCUCAAACAAGCCCACCUCCUCUUCAGAGCCCUUCAUAAGCUUUAGUUCUUAGUUUCUUCAAGCACUCUGAAGGGAGGGGGAAGGGCGCUUUUCGAGGAGGCGGCAGGGCACGGAGCGCCCUGCGCUCCGCUCUCCUCUCAGCCCGCUGCCGGCGCCCUGCCGCGGGCUCUGCGGGAGCGCGGAGAGCAGAGCGCCCGCGGUCACCUGCAGCCCGGCCUGCCGUCUGCCCUGUGCGUUUUAGCCCCUGAGUGGAGCUUCUGCUGUAGCUGCUCCCCAGCUCUGAUCCUGGUGUGCUCACGUAUCCGAGACACAGCGCUGGCAGAUUUAAGUUACUACGUGGACGUGGGACGAAAAUGGACUCAGAGGAAGCUAAAAGAGGCAGACUCUCGUGGGGAAGUAGUGGAGAGAUGCAAAGAGAGCCUGUGCUGACGGGGUGAAGUUACACAUGUGCCAGGCAGGGACAGGCUGUGAGAAACCAGAAGCUGCAGAGGCUCUCUGAGGAUUCUUGAUGUGCUGCUGAAGUGGGAUGCUGGUGAUGAAGAUUUAAAAAUGCUGACAUCUGAUAAAAGUACUAGAUCAGAUUCUAUGAUUGUGAAAUGUAGAGGUAUCUAAAUCUUAUACCAUGAUAACUUGGAAGAAGAGUUCUUACAACUGAUUAUCCAGAUGUCUACAAAUAUGAAAAACAAGCUGCUCCAGAUAGUGUCUUGAUUUCUUUAUUUGCUAAAACUCUAUUUAUAUUUUCAGCUCAUCUUUAUUUGACUGCACAGUUUUUCAAGACUACCAUAUGUCUUUGCAUGUUCUCUAAAGAUUUUUCCCCAAAAUGGAAUUAUUCUGUCCCUCUUCUAUACCUGCAUUGAGACACAGAGCCAUUAAACACCAGAGAGUAUUAGAAGCACCACAGGGAAUUCUGAAAUUACUAUCUGUAAUUUUAAUCCAUUAAUUUACAGCUUGUAAGAGAGUGUCAGAAGUACCUGGGAUAAUUAUAAGAUAAUCCACAUUUCCUUUAACAAGACAAAAAUACCACCCCCAAUAUAACUCACAACAGCCCAGCCAGCUCUUAGUUGGUGUUGAGUGUAGCUGUCCUCACAAAUUGACACUUAAUGUUGAAAUAAUUUAUUACAGCAGUGUUUGAGAAGUUUACACAGAGCUGGGCACAUCUCACACACCUGCUGCCAGUGCCCUGGAUUCUUCCAGUGCCUGGGCUAGGCUGGAUCCAGAGCAGAUCUGAUGGUGCCAACACUCCUGUGCAUCUUGUGCAUGACCAAGGACUGCAGUCCUGGAUCUCACCUGGGUGCCACUUCCUAAGUCAGGACACGCUGUUGUACAGUCCUGGAGAAGCAGCAGGAAUUUAUUUUCAGACAGAAUAUAAUCAAUUAUACCUCAUACUCUUCUGUCAGCAGCAAAAUCCAGGCCAUUUGUUACAUAGUUUGGAAGAUGGUUCUGCAUUUUUAAACUUGCCUUUUGGUGUGGUUUCUAGGUUGCAUCCAUUAUUUUACUUGACACUUAAGAGUGUCCAGAAUGCAGGUUUUACUGUUUAUUCUGUAACAUCUUCAAAAGAUUGGACACUAUACUUAUUCCUGCCCUCUGCCAAAUAUAACUUUCUAUCACAUUUCCACUUUUUAAAGCAGCAUAACUGUUCCACUUCUAAAAAAUAAAAUGUGCAAACAGACUUUGUGAACAAGUGAGCCACAAGAACCUGAAUGUUGAAAACUUUAGAAAAAAUUCUCCUAGCUACUUUACUGUUAUGAAAUGGCCAUCUGAAAGAAAAAAAAACCCUCACGAAAACUGAAGGGAAGAGGAAA